AUUGAACGCUGGCGGCAGGCCUAACACAUGCAAGUCGAACGAGUGGCGGACGGGUGAGUAAUGUCUGGGAAACUGCCUGAUGGAGGGGGAUAACUACUGGAAACGGUAGCUAAUACCGCAUACCAUCAGAUGUGCCCAGAUGGGUUUAGCUUGUUGGUGGGGUAAAGGCUCACCAAGGCGACGAGCCCUAGCUGGUCUGAGAGGAUGACCCGCCAACCUGGAACUGAGACACGGCCCAGACUCCUACGGGAGGCAGCAGUGGGGAAUAUUCCACAAUGGGCGAAAGCCUGAUGGAGCCAUGCCGCGUGUAUUAAGAAGGCCUUCGGGUUGUAAAAUACUUUCAGCGGGGAGGCGGUACCCGAAGAAGAAGCACCGGCUAACUCCGUGCCAGCCGCCGCGGUAAUAC
This 406-nucleotide ribosomal RNA is filed under the name uncultured bacterium. Its description in RNAcentral is "partial 16S ribosomal RNA". It matches the Rfam family "Bacterial small subunit ribosomal RNA", at positions 30 to 526 of the family's 1533-position model. The record is from RNAcentral.